UACGUAGGUGGCAAGCGUUGUCCGGAUUUACUGGGCGUAAAGGGCGCGUAGGCUGUGCUGUAAGUCAGGCGUGAAAGCCCCGGGCUCAACCUGGGAAUUGCGCUUGAUACUGCGGCGCUGGAAGGUGGGAGAGGAUGGCGGAAUUCCCAGUGUAGAGGUGAAAUUCGUAGAUAUUGGGAAGAACACCGGUGGCGAAGGCGCCAUCUGGCCCUUUUUGACGCUGAGGCGCGAAAGCCGUGGGGAGCAACAGG
RNAcentral lists this ribosomal RNA (251 nucleotides) under uncultured bacterium. RNAcentral's name for it is "partial 16S ribosomal RNA". It matches the Rfam family "Bacterial small subunit ribosomal RNA", at positions 524 to 776 of the family's 1533-position model. The record is from RNAcentral.